GGAGCUAUAGACUCAGAAUUGGUUGGUUUGCAUAUGAAAGAAGUGAUCCCAGCUGAGCCCUUUGCCAUCCUUAAGAAUGGAUUAGCCCUGGGAGGAGCCUCUCUCGUGGCCAGCAGCUUUUCCAAGGCGUUAAAAACAUCAUAAAAUAUAGAAAAUAAAAGACCUGAUUAAUACACCAUGCAUAAAGGAGUUUAUAUCUACAGGAGAAGUAAGUCUGUACAUUAAAAGGUAAAUAAUAAGACAAGGUAAUUGUGAGAAAUGAGAUGAUUCAUUUCCCGAAAUACCAAAUAAAAGCUGUGCUGUCUAGUUAAUAGUUUUACAACCUAUUGGAAGUAUGUGUGAACCCGCCCUUCCACAGUGGAGCCCCAAACCCUUAGAUACUUCACUUCCUGGUUCUUCUUCCCCUCUCCAUUUUGCAGGCUUAUUUUUUGUGGGCUUUGCAAUAAGCCUCUGCCAAAGAACUGAAGUCUCCGCAUCACCUCAAGGAAUGUACAUUUGUUCCAAUCAGACUGCUUUUUGCCUUAAAAGGGCAUAGGCGAUGUCCAGAACUGAAAUGGAAGAAUGCAAUCACAGAUCUGAACACAUGCAACAUGGAAAGAGCGUGUUUCAUCCAAAUCUCUAGGAUGAAGCAUCAUGACCUAGGUAAGAAAACUGGAUCCAACACAAGGAGACCUCAGACCCUAGAGUGGCUCUCCACUAGCUGAGAGAUUUGGGGUAAGUUGAGUCA
Molecule: long non-coding RNA, 727 nt
Organism: Felis catus (domestic cat)
Lineage: Eukaryota; Metazoa; Chordata; Mammalia; Carnivora; Felidae
Exons: 3
Source: RefSeq, a predicted model, not a curated record